RNAcentral lists this ribosomal RNA (1062 nucleotides) under Vibrio cholerae. RNAcentral's name for it is "partial 23S ribosomal RNA". It matches the Rfam family "Bacterial large subunit ribosomal RNA", at positions 1164 to 2213 of the family's 2925-position model. The record is from RNAcentral. Lineage: Bacteria; Pseudomonadati; Pseudomonadota; Gammaproteobacteria; Vibrionales; Vibrionaceae.
CGGAAGAUGUAACGGGGCUAAGCAAUACACCGAAGCUGCGGCAAUGUCUUUUAGACAUUGGGUAGGGGAGCGUUCUGUAAGCCGUUGAAGGUGAAUCGUAAGGUUUGCUGGAGGUAUCAGAAGUGCGAAUGCUGACAUGAGUAACGACAAAGGGGGUGAAAAACCUCCUCGCCGGAAGACCAAGGGUUCCUGUCCAACGUUAAUCGGGGCAGGGUGAGUCGACCCCUAAGGUGAGGCCGAAAGGCGUAAUCGAUGGGAAACGGGUUAAUAUUCCCGUACUUCUGACUAUUGCGAUGGGGGGACGGAGAAGGCUAGGUGGGCCAGGCGACGGUUGUCCUGGUUCAAGUGCGUAGGCUUGAGAGUUAGGUAAAUCCGGCUCUCUCUAAGGCUGAGACACGACGUCGAGCUACUACGGUAGUGAAGUCAUUGAUGCCAUGCUUCCAGGAAAAGCCUCUAAGCUUCAGAUAGUCAGGAAUCGUACCCCAAACCGACACAGGUGGUCGGGUAGAGAAUACCAAGGCGCUUGAGAGAACUCGGGUGAAGGAACUAGGCAAAAUGGUACCGUAACUUCGGGAGAAGGUACGCUCUUGAUGGUGAAGUCCCUCGCGGAUGGAGCUGACGAGAGUCGCAGAUACCAGGUGGCUGCAACUGUUUAUUAAAAACACAGCACUGUGCAAAAUCGCAAGAUGACGUAUACGGUGUGACGCCUGCCCGGUGCCGGAAGGUUAAUUGAUGGGGUUAGCGCAAGCGAAGCUCUUGAUCGAAGCCCCGGUAAACGGCGGCCGUAACUAUAACGGUCCUAAGGUAGCGAAAUUCCUUGUCGGGUAAGUUCCGACCUGCACGAAUGGCGUAAUGAUGGCCACGCUGUCUCCACCCGAGACUCAGUGAAAUUGAAAUCGCUGUGAAGAUGCAGUGUACCCGCGGCUAGACGGAAAGACCCCGUGAACCUUUACUACAGCUUGGCACUGAACAUUGAACCUACAUGUGUAGGAUAGGUGGGAGGCUAUGAAGACGUGACGCCAGUUGCGUUGGAGCCGUCCUUGAAAUACCACCCUUGUAUGU